Drosophila montana is the source of this 709-nucleotide long non-coding RNA. RefSeq lists it as uncharacterized. NCBI's taxonomy places the organism in Eukaryota, Metazoa, Arthropoda, Insecta, Diptera, Drosophilidae. The transcript has 2 exons. The record is from RefSeq and is a predicted model, not a curated record.
ACUUUAUCAAAACAUAAAUGUUUAAUUAAACACGAACAACAAUAAAAGCAACAUAAUUUUACAGAAAAUCAAACAUUUGCUGGGAUAUACGGUGCAAGCCAUAAAAAUGCAGACGAUGUCAGUGGGUAACGUUAAAGCCGUUGCACAGCCUGCUGCACACCUUGGGGACAUGAAGUCAUCAACUACGACGCCGCCACUCCUCUGGCCCCUUCCCUUACUACAACACUCCAGCGUAAACCGGCUCUGCCUGCUUUCUUGUGGGUGCUGAUCAGGAAAAAAUAGCCCACUGCACCUUAAGGAUUUGCUUUUUAUGUUUAUUAUUUUCUUUGCCCUGCCUGUAUAUCUGUGUUUGUGUGCGUGUGUGGAGUUGGCCACGUGGCUGGCACCCUUCGCCAAUUCGACGCGCUAGUUUUACACCCUUGUGCCUCACCCCUUAAGAAACGCAUAAGCUAGCCGCAAACGAAACAUGUUGCGUUUUUUAUGUGGCCUACUAGAUCCCGGGGUUAGGGGUUGAGUUGGCUGCUGUCUUAGGUCAUCAAUAAUGGCGCAAACAUGCAUUAAAGACGCUUGCUUUACAUUAAGACGAACCGGCUUAUUGAAAUUGGUACACAACCUGAGCCCUUUUUCGCCCUUUUUAUUAUUACUGAGCGAGGGGUCUUGAGCUCUCUGGGGACUCACUACUUUCAAUAAAAGUUGCUUGUAUAUUGUG